CCCGAAUGGGGAAACCCAGUGUGAUUCGUCACACUAUCAUUAACUGAAUCCAUAGGUUAAUGAGGCGAACCGGGGGAACUGAAACAUCUAAGUACCCCGAGGAAAAGAAAUCAACCGAGAUUCCCCCAGUAGCGGCGAGCGAACGGGGAGGAGCCCAGAGCCUGAAUCAGCAUGUGUGUUAGUGGAAGCGUCUGGAAAGGCGCGCGAUACAGGGUGACAGCCCCGUACACAAAAGCGCAUGUGCUGUGAGCUCGAUGAGUAGGGCGGGACACGUGGUAUCCUGUCUGAAUAUGGGGGGACCAUCCUCCAAGGCUAAAUACUCCUGACUGACCGAUAGUGAACCAGUACCGUGAGGGAAAGGCGAAAAGAACCCCGGCGAGGGGAGUGAAAAAGAACCUGAAACCGUGUACGUACAAGCAGUGGGAGNNNNNNNNNNNNNNNNNNNNNNNNNNNNNNNNNNNGGGCGUUAAGUUGCAGGGUAUAGACCCGAAACCCGGUGAUCUAGCCAUGGGCAGGUUGAAGGUUGGGUAACACUAACUGGAGGACCGAACCGACUAAUGUUGAAAAAUUAGCGGAUGACCUGUGGCUGGGGGUGAAAGGCCAAUCAAACCGGGAGAUAGCUGGUUCUCCCCGAAAGCUAUUUAGGUAGCGCCUCGUGAAUUCAUCUCCGGGGGUAGAGCACUGUUUCGGCUAGGGGGCCAUCCCGGCUUACCAACCCGAUGCAAACUGCGAAUACCGGAGAAUGUUAUCACGGGAGACACACGGCGGGUGCUAACGUCCGUCGUGAAGAGGGAAACAACCCAGACCGCCAGCUAAGGUCCCAAAGUCAUGGUUAAGUGGGAAACGAUGUGGGAAGGCCCAGACAGCCAGGAUGUUGGCUUAGAAGCAGCCAUCAUUUAAAGAAAGCGUAAUAGCUCACUGGUCGAGUCGGCCUGCGCGGAAGAUGUAACGGGGCUAAACCAUGCACCGAAGCUGCGGCAGCGANNNNNNNNNNNNNNNNNNNUGCUGGAGGUAUCAGAAGUGCGAAUGCUGACAUAAGUAACGAUAAAGCGGGUGAAAAGCCCGCUCGCCGGAAGACCAAGGGUUCCUGUCCAACGUUAAUCGGGGCAGGGUGAGUCGACCCCUAAGGCGAGGCCGAAAGGCGUAGUCGAUGGGAAACGGGUUAAUAUUCCCGUACUUGGUGUUACUGCGAAGGGGGGACGGAGAAGGCUAUGUUGGCCGGGCGACGGUUGUCCCGGUUUAAGCGUGUAGGUGUGUGUUCCAGGUAAAUCCGGUUCACUUUAACACUGAGGCGUGACGACGAGGCACUACGGUGCUGAAGCAACAAAUGCCCUGCUUCCAGGAAAAGCCUCUAAGCAUCAGGUAACACGAAAUCGUACCCCAAACCGACACAGGUGGUCAGGUAGAGAAUACCAAGGCGCUUGAGAGAACUCGGGUGAAGGAACUAGGCAAAAUGGUGCCGUAACUUCGGGAGAAGGCACGCUGACACGUAGGUGAAGUGAUUUACUCAUGGAGCUGAAGUCAGUCGAAGAUACCAGCUGGCUGCAACUGUUUAUUAAAAACACAGCACUGUGCAAACACGAAAGUGGACGUAUACGGUGUGACGCCUGCCCGGUGCCGGAAGGUUAAUUGAUGGGGUCAGCGCAAGCGAAGCUCCUGAUCGAAGCCCCGGUAAACGGCGGCCGUAACUAUAACGGUCCUAAGGUAGCGAAAUUCCUUGUCGGGUAAGUUCCGACCUGCACGAAUGGCGUAAUGAUGGCCAGGCUGUCUCCACCCGAGACUCAGUGAAAUUGAACUCGCUGUGAAGAUGCAGUGUACCCGCGGCAAGACGGAAAGACCCCGUGAACCUUUACUAUAGCUUGACACUGAACAUUGAGCCUUGAUGUGUAGGAUAGGUGGGAGGCUUUGAAGUGUGGACGCCAGUCUGCAUGGAGCCGACCUUGAAAUACCACCCUUUAAUGUUUGAUGUUCUAACGUGGACCCGUAAUCCGGGUUGCGGACAGUGUCUGGUGGGUAGUUUGACUGGGGCGGUCUCCUCCUAAAGAGUAACGGAGGAGCACGAAGGUUGGCUAAUCCUGGUCGGACAUCAGGAGGUUAGUGCAAUGGCAUAAGCCAGCUUGACUGCGAGCGUGACGGCGCGAGCAGGUGCGAAAGCAGGUCAUAGUGAUCCGGUGGUUCUGAAUGGAAGGGCCAUCGCUCAACGGAUAAAAGGUACUCCGGGGAUAACAGGCUGAUACCGCCCAAGAGUUCAUAUCGACGGCGGUGUUUGGCACCUCGAUGUCGGCUCAUCACAUCCUGGGGCUGAAGUAGGUCCCAAGGGUAUGGCUGUUCGCCAUUUAAAGUGGUACGCGAGCUGGGUUUAGAACGUCGUGAGACAGUUCGGUCCCUAUCUGCCGUGGGCGCUGGAGAACUGAGGGGGGCUGCUCCUAGUACGAGAGGACCGGAGUGGACGCAUCACUGGUGUUCGGGUUGUCAUGCCAAUGGCACUGCCCGGUAGCUAAAUGCGGAAGAGAUAAGUGCUGAAAGCAUCUAAGCACGAAACUUGCCCCGAGAUGAGUUCUCCCUGAGACUUAGAGUCUCCUGAAGGAACGUUGAAGACGACGACGUUGAUAGGCCGGGUGUGUAAGCGCAGCGAUGCGUUGAGCUAACCGGUACUAAUGAACCGU
Molecule: ribosomal RNA, 2666 nt
Filed under: Salmonella enterica subsp. enterica serovar Typhimurium
Lineage: Bacteria; Pseudomonadati; Pseudomonadota; Gammaproteobacteria; Enterobacterales; Enterobacteriaceae
Description: partial 23S ribosomal RNA
Rfam family: Bacterial large subunit ribosomal RNA
Source: RNAcentral